Molecule: long non-coding RNA, 524 nt
Filed under: Phoenix dactylifera (date palm)
Lineage: Eukaryota; Viridiplantae; Streptophyta; Magnoliopsida; Arecales; Arecaceae
Description: long non-coding RNA (PDAC_LNC021243)
Source: RNAcentral
UGGGAGUUGUGCAACUGAUCCUUUGACCUGAGAUCACCAUGGUAUCUUGUGCACAUGAACCUAUGUUUUGGUUUACACUCAUUCAUGACAAUAAGUUCUGUACGAGGUCUUCUGGAUAUGGUGGAUUGUGUACGAAGAUUAUGAGUAGGUCAACAAGGAAUUAAUCACUUCUAGUAAGAGAAGAUAGCAUCCCAUUUAUUCUAAUCAUAUGAUAAUUCAAGAAGCCUUUGAUCAAAGCAGAAUGAAAAUUAGAAAGAGUUUCUAAUAUUUCAUUAUUUGAAUUAUCAUUAAAAGAUUGAGAAAAAUAUGAAUAUGAAAUUGAGUUUGACAUAUAUUCAUACUCAUAUACAUAUUUGGGAUGCAGUUUGAUUAAAGGAUUGAAUUGCAUGGUAACUUGCCACUGAAGGGUAUUUUUGGUAUUUCCACCAAAUUCCAUAUUUUCUAGGUAGACAUGACACGUUGCUAGACGUCAAUCUUGUUUUAUAGGUUUGAUCGAAUUAAAGAGUUUAAUUCGAUCACCAAUU